GUAUGUUGUUGUUCCAGUGCAACACGGCUGUAUGUUGUUGUUCCAGUGCAACACGGCUGUAUGUUGUUGUUCCAGUGCAACACGGCUGUAUGUUGUGUUCCUCAUGGUGUUUAACGGUCAGCGAAUGGAGGAAAUAAACGUUGGUAUCAGACAAGAAAACCACGGUAGUGCAGCGACAAUCACUGCUUAAUUGCCUCAGGAUAAUGUACUGUAUAUAGCAGGAUAAUGUACUGUAUAUAGCAGGAUAAUGUACUGUAUAUAGCAGUAUGGUGCAGGAUAAUGUACUGUAUAUAGCAGGAUAAUGUACUGUAUAUAGCAGGAUGGUGCAUGAUAAUGUACUGUAUAUAGCAGCAUGGAGCAGGAUAAUGCAUUGUGUAUAUAGCAGGAUAAUGUACUGUAUAUAGCAGUAUGGUGCAGGAUAAUGUACUGUAUGUAGCAGUAUGGAGUAGGAUAAUGUACUGUAUAUAGCAGGAUAAUGUGCUGUAUAUAGCAGUAUAAUACAGGAUAAUGUACUGUAUAUAGCAGUAUGGUGCAGGAUAAUGAACUGUAUAUAACAGUAUUAGCUUGGGUUUGGCCAUGAAGCAUGACACUCCACUAUAUCCUAUCCUACCUCCUUCCUACCGACAUCCUACCAGUCUCAACAGCUUCACUGGCAGAAAUGUUCUGUCUACUUGAUGUUUUCUGUUCUUAACCUGAAAAGCUGCUGACCAGCUAUUUGACUCCUGGUUUAUUGUUAUAAACACAGAGUCUGUGAGGGUCUUCAUACGUUUCUGGUUUAUUCAUCACGGUGUAGUGGAGGUUGUUAGUAAUGGGUGACUCUAGUUAUCUCUCUCUCUAGAGCUCUUUGGUAACAAACACACAAUGUUUUGGCGUGUGAAAGAAGGAUGUAGAAAAUAACCUCAUACCUACUGUAAAACAUUGUGGUGGAUCUGUGAUGUUAUGGGGCUGUUUAGCCUCCACUGGUCCUGGGAUCCUUGUUAAGGUCAACGGCAUCAUGAACUUUACCAAAUACUUGGACAUUUUAGAUAAAAACCUGGUUGUCUCUGCCAGGAGACUGAAACUUGGCCACAAGUGGAUCUUCCAGUAAGACGAUAACCCCAAGCACCCAUCAACAUCCACGAAGAAAUGGUUCAUUGACCACAAAAUCAAGUCUCCGAACUUUAAACAUAUUGAAAAUCUGUGGUGUGAAUUGAAGAGAGCCGGUCCAUAAGCACAGACAGAGGAUAUCAAGGAUCUGAAAGGAUUCUGUAUGGAGGACUGUUCUAAGAUCCCUCACAAUGUGUUCUAGAAUCUCAGAAAACAUUCUAGAAUAAGUCUCAGUACCUUUUGU
Molecule: long non-coding RNA, 1330 nt
Organism: Oncorhynchus tshawytscha (Chinook salmon)
Lineage: Eukaryota; Metazoa; Chordata; Actinopteri; Salmoniformes; Salmonidae
Source: Ensembl